This is a long non-coding RNA of Haliotis rubra (blacklip abalone), 377 nucleotides long. RefSeq lists it as uncharacterized. The transcript has 3 exons. The record is from RefSeq and is a predicted model, not a curated record. Lineage: Eukaryota; Metazoa; Mollusca; Gastropoda; Lepetellida; Haliotidae.
CGUUAUCCAGUCCGAGGACGACAAGGGCACAGCACUCCAUUCUCACAUUUUGUCUUAUUUCUUCUCAUCAUACGCUCACAUGGUCAAAGGGCACACAACUUUUGUGUACUUUCCCUGCCAUGUGUACGGAGGUGCACUAGUAGUCAGAUAAUUAUCAUAAAUUGCCUAUUUUGAAAUAAUUCCGAAAUCCUGUUGUAUUUAAAUACUGUUGUAUUGAUGUCAGUUAUGCUGGUGUUGAAACGGGAGUAUCGCUACACUGUUGUAUUCAUGCUCAGUGAAGCAGUCAUAAAAUCACACAUGUGUAGCACCUUUGCAAAAUGUUGCACAUGUACGUGUUAUGCGUCGUUAGAAGUGCAUUUUAAAGGGCUUUCAUGCGC